RNAcentral lists this ribosomal RNA (439 nucleotides) under uncultured bacterium. RNAcentral's name for it is "partial 16S ribosomal RNA". It matches the Rfam family "Bacterial small subunit ribosomal RNA", at positions 339 to 795 of the family's 1533-position model. The record is from RNAcentral.
CUACGGGUGGCAGCAGUGGGGAAUAUUGGACAAUGGGCGAAAGCCUGAUCCAGCAAUGCCGCGUGAGUGAUGAAGGCCUUAGGGUUGUAAAGCUCUUUUACCAGGGAUGAUAAUGACAGUACCUGGAGAAUAAGCUCCGGCUAACUCCGUGCCAGCAGCCGCGGUAAUACGGAGGGAGCUAGCGUUGUUCGGAAUUACUGGGCGUAAAGCGUACGUAGGCGGUUAUUCAAGUCAGAGGUGAAAGCCUGGAGCUCAACUCCAGAACUGCCUUUGAAACUAGAUAGCUAGAAUCUUGGAGAGGUGAGUGGAAUUCCGAGUGUAGAGGUGACAUUCGUAGAUAUUCGGAAGAACACCAGUGGCGAAGGCGACUCACUGGACAAGUAUUGACGCUGAGGUACGAAAGCGUGGGGAGCAAACAGGAUUAGAUACCCGCGUAGUC